GGGGUAUUAGCUCAGCAGGUAGAGCGGUGCGCUGUUAACGCAAUGGUCGGUGGUUCGAGUCCAUCAUUCCCCG
RNAcentral lists this transfer RNA (73 nucleotides) under Caudoviricetes sp. RNAcentral describes it as "tRNA-Asn". It matches the Rfam family "tRNA". Rfam says of the family: Transfer RNA (tRNA) molecules are approximately 80 nucleotides in length. Their secondary structure includes four short double-helical elements and three loops (D, anti-codon, and T loops). The record is from RNAcentral. Lineage: Duplodnaviria; Heunggongvirae; Uroviricota; Caudoviricetes.